AGCGAACGCUGGCGGCCGGCUUAACACAUGCAAGUCGAGCGGGCAUCCUUGUGGUGUCAGCGGCAGACGGGUGAGUAACGCGUGGGAACGUGCCCUUCGGUUCGGAAUAACUCAGGGAAACUUGAGCUAAUACCGGAUACGUGCGAGAGCAGAAAGGUUUAUCUGCCGAAGGAUCGGCCCGCGUCUGAUUAGCUAGUUGGUGAGGUUAUGGCUCACCAAGGCGACGAUCAGUAGCUGGUCUGAGAGGAUGAUCAGCCACACUGGGACUGAGACACGGCCCAGACUCCUACGGGAGGCAGCAGUGGGGAAUAUUGGACAAUGGGGGCAACCCUGAUCCAGCCAUGCCGCGUGAGUGAUGACGGCCUUAGGGUUGUAAAGCUCUUUUCUUCGGGACGAUAAUGACGGUACCGGAGGAAUAAGCCCCGGCUAACUUCGUG
Molecule: ribosomal RNA, 437 nt
Filed under: uncultured bacterium
Lineage: Bacteria
Description: partial 16S ribosomal RNA
Rfam family: Bacterial small subunit ribosomal RNA
Source: RNAcentral